RNAcentral lists this ribosomal RNA (502 nucleotides) under uncultured bacterium. Its description in RNAcentral is "partial 16S ribosomal RNA". It matches the Rfam family "Bacterial small subunit ribosomal RNA", at positions 30 to 523 of the family's 1533-position model. The record is from RNAcentral.
AUUGAACGCUGGCGGAAUGCUUUACACAUGCAAGUCGAACGGCAGCAUAGGUGCUUGCACCUGAUGGCGAGUGGCGAACGGGUGAGUAAUACAUCGGAACGUGCCCAGUCGUGGGGGAUAACGUAGCGAAAGUUACGCUAAUACCGCAUACGAUCUAAGGAUGAAAGCGGGGGACCGUAAGGCCUCGCGCGAUUGGAGCGGCCGAUGUCAGGUUAGGUAGUUGGUGAGGUAAAGGCUCACCAAGCCGACGAUCUGUAGCUGGUCUGAGAGGACGACCAGCCACACUGGGACUGAGACAUGGCCCAGACUCCUACGGGAGGCAGCAGUGGGGAAUUUUGGACAAUGGACGCAAGUCUGAUCCAGCCAUUCCGCGUGCAGGACGAAGGCCUUCGGGUUGUAAACUGCUUUUGUACGGAACGAAAAAGCUCUUACUAAUACUAGGAGUCCAUGACGGUACCGUAAGAAUAAGCACCGGCUAACUACGUGCCAGCAGCCGCUGUAA